UACGAAGGGUGCAAACGUUGCUCAGAAUUAUUGGGCGUAAAGCGCACGUAGGCGGCUUUGUAAGUCGGAUGUGAAAUCCCUCGGCUUAACCAAGGAAGUGCAUCCGAAACUACAGAGCUUGAGUACUUAAGAGGAUCGCGGAAUUCCCGGUGUAGAGGUGAAAUUCGUAGAUAUCGGGAGGAACACCAGUGGCGAAGGCGGCGAUCUGGGAAGAUACUGAGGCUGAGGUGCGAAAGCGUGGGGAGCAAACAGG
Molecule: ribosomal RNA, 253 nt
Filed under: uncultured bacterium
Lineage: Bacteria
Description: partial 16S ribosomal RNA
Rfam family: Bacterial small subunit ribosomal RNA
Source: RNAcentral